UACGUAGGGCGCAAGCGUUGUCCGGAAUCAUUGGGCGUAAAGAGCUCGUAGGUGGUCUGUUACGUCUGCUGUGAAAUCCUAGGGCUUAACCCUGGGCCUGCAGUGGAUACGGGCAGACUAGAGGCAUGCAGGGGAGAACGGAAUUCCUGGUGUAGCGGUGAAAUGCGCAGAUAUCAGGAGGAACACCUGUGGCGAAGGCGGUUCUCUGGGCAUGUCCUGACGCUGAGGAGCGAAAGCGUGGGGAGCAAACAGG
This 253-nucleotide ribosomal RNA is filed under the name uncultured bacterium. Its description in RNAcentral is "partial 16S ribosomal RNA". It matches the Rfam family "Bacterial small subunit ribosomal RNA", at positions 524 to 776 of the family's 1533-position model. The record is from RNAcentral.